RNAcentral lists this long non-coding RNA (218 nucleotides) under Zostera marina. Its description in RNAcentral is "long non-coding RNA (ZMAR_LNC001824)". Lineage: Eukaryota; Viridiplantae; Streptophyta; Magnoliopsida; Alismatales; Zosteraceae. The record is from RNAcentral.
GGUGUCCUCAAGUCGAUCUGAUUUGGGCGCGGCCAGAUUCACGGAGAAGGCGGACGACGGCAGGCGAUUCUCCUCCGAUUGACGCAGCUCUUGGUCCAUCAGUAGCGAUUGCAGGUCGACGAGCGUCAUAGAUGGGUCAAAUCGCGUGGUGACGGAGUUUGAGAACGCGGAGUACUCUGGACCUAGACCGCCGAGCACCGUGAUUACUUUGUCCGCCU